Molecule: long non-coding RNA, 1071 nt
Organism: Alligator sinensis (Chinese alligator)
Lineage: Eukaryota; Metazoa; Chordata; Crocodylia; Alligatoridae
Exons: 5
Source: RefSeq, a predicted model, not a curated record
UUGGUUAGGGAGGGGUGCGGGGGUGGUUCUGGCCUCCUGGCGUGCCCCAAAGCUGGGUGGUGUAUGCCUGGGUUAGGUUUAGUCUGUGUGUGAGUCCUGGCUCUGUUUGUAAAGGCUGAAAACAGCCUUUGAGUGUAUAGGGGUUUUCAGGGUUUGGUCCUGGCAUCUGGGUGCAGAUCUUAUCCCUGGGUGUGGUGGGGCAGAGGAGCGGGUACCUGCGUCUCUGCCUCUGCCUGCCUGUUGCUGGUGCCCGUGGCCUCCCUUCAGUUCUGGGAACUGCACUUUUUUCUGUCUUUCUUCGUUUGUCACUGGUGUUUCUUUCUACUUGGAUUUUUAAUAUCACUGCAGCACUUCUUGUUCUUCCUUUCCUCUUCCCAGAGCUGGAAGGAGGGCUGUGUUGGCACUUAAAUUGGUCCCCUCAUUUGGGAGGGGUCUGACUGCACCCUGUGUUGCUUGUUUGGGGGUGGGUAUGCGCUGCCUCUGGAGUCCUGGGUUGGAGGUGGUGGUGGUGGAGGGGUUCUGCUUUGUAAUGUGAGAUGUGAUUUGUGUUCCAUGUCGUAAUUGCUUGUUGUUUUGGGGGUGAUGCCAUUGUUUGGACUUGAGCGGACAGGAGCUGUGGUAGAGAAGAAGAGACGUAGAUCCGCCACCAUGUAGAAGGAGGUGGAGGAAGCGGACGGCUGUGCACCUGUGGUCAUUUUUGGGUCACCAGGGGUGAGGCCUCAGUCUGUUGGCUGGAGCUGCUUGCAUGGGCAGAGCCUCUGGCGGGAGGUUCCUGCACCCUGUGAGAGGAGAGGAAGUGAAGCGGGGACAAGUGAGGACUGAAGAAGGAGUAGCAUAACACCUGGCGUGGGUUCUGGCCUGCGUGGAGGGAAAUGUACAGUGGCUCAGCGAGUGGAGCGGAGCUGUGCCCACAGAGGGUGAAGCGGGAGGAACAGGAUGCUGCACCGUGUGUUGGUGUUGGAUGGGCAGAUCCUGAAGUUGGAUGUCUGCCUUCUGUAUGGGGAAGGCCUGGCAAGCAAGGCUGCACAGGGGCUGAAGGAGCACUGUGAUGCCAGGUGUGGGUCCUGGUGU